GACGAACGCUGGCGGCGUGCUUAACACAUGCAAGUCGAACGGAAAGGCCCCUUUGGGGGUACUCGAGUGGCGAACGGGUGAGUAACACGUGAGUAACCUGCCCUUGACUUCGGGAUAACUUCAGGAAACUGGGGCUAAUACCGGAUAGGAAUCCUUGCUGCAUGGUGGGGGUUGGAAAGCUUCGGCGGUUUUGGAUGGACUCGCGGCUUAUCAGCUUGUUGGUGGGGUAGUGGCUUACCAAGGCUUUGACGGGUAGCCGGCCUGAGAGGGCGACCGGCCACAGUGGGACUGAGAUACGGCCCAGACUCCUACGGGAGGCAGCAGUGGGGAAUAUUGCACAAUGGGCGGAAGCCUGAUGCAGCAACGCCGCGUGCGGGAGGACGGCCUUCGGGUUGGAAACCGAUUUCAGCAGGGGCGAAGCUUGUGGUGACGGUACCUGCAGAAGAAGCACCGGCUAACUACGUG
Molecule: ribosomal RNA, 465 nt
Filed under: uncultured bacterium
Lineage: Bacteria
Description: partial 16S ribosomal RNA
Rfam family: Bacterial small subunit ribosomal RNA
Source: RNAcentral